UAGGCUAAAGCCCGCUGGCUGGGGUAGUUGGUUGUUAACUAACUUUUACGGGAUCGAGGCCCGUUAGUCUAG
RNAcentral lists this transfer RNA (72 nucleotides) under Cyrtodactylus philippinicus. Its description in RNAcentral is "tRNA-Asx". The record is from RNAcentral. Lineage: Eukaryota; Metazoa; Chordata; Lepidosauria; Squamata; Gekkonidae.